GCCAGUGUGGCUCAGUGGUUGAGCGUCAGCCUAUGAACCAGGAAGUCAUGGUUCGAUUCCUGGCAAUGACA
Non-coding RNA from Myotis brandtii (Brandt's bat), 71 nucleotides. The record is from Rfam. Lineage: Eukaryota; Metazoa; Chordata; Mammalia; Chiroptera; Vespertilionidae.